RNAcentral lists this ribosomal RNA (447 nucleotides) under uncultured bacterium. RNAcentral's name for it is "bacterial SSU rRNA". It matches the Rfam family "Bacterial small subunit ribosomal RNA", at positions 329 to 793 of the family's 1533-position model. The record is from RNAcentral.
GGCCAGACUCCUACGGGAGGCAGCAGUGGGGAAUAUUGCACAAUGGGGGAAACCCUGAUGCAGCGACGCCGCGUGAGUGAAGAAGUAUUUCGGUAUGUAAAGCUCUAUCAGCAGGGAAGAAAAUGACGGUACCUGACUAAGAAGCCCCGGCUAACUACGUGCCAGCAGCCGCGGUAAUACGUAGGGGGCAAGCGUUAUCCGGAUUUACUGGGUGUAAAGGGAGCGUAGACGGCAGCGCAAGUCUGAAGUGAAAUCCCGUGGCGUAACCAUGGAACUGCUUUGGAAACUGUGCAGCUGGAGUGCAGGAGAGGUAAGCGGAAUUCCUAGUGUAGCGGUGAAAUGCGUAGAUAUUAGGAGGAACACCAGUGGCGAAGGCGGCUUACUGGACUGUAACUGACGUUGAGGCUCGAAAGCGUGGGGAGCAAACAGGAUUAGAUACCCCAGUAA